CUAACGGAAAACUCAUAGACUGAUCUGUACUCGAAAAGGGAAAAGAACUUGACGACACUCACGCAUUAUAUUAUCAGCAAAAGACGACCUGAAAACCGACCAAUAUGAGGAUAUAUGCGCUCAUUCUCCUGCUCUCCCUGCUCCUGGGGGCGGUCCUGGAGGUGAACACCCAGAUAGUCACCCGUCGGAGGAACUUCCCAGGGGAGAGAAGGCUGGGGAGCAUAAACUAUGGACAGUACAGGUUCGGGAAGAGAGGAUACCAGAAGAAGCAGCAUCCGAGAAAAUUCACGUGAAGACAUCAGUUCCUUGGUAUAUAUACUGUACUGACUAACGGACUUAUUGACAAUGACGCUUGAAUUGAUGAUAUAUAUAAAGGCUUUAAACUCUAAAUGGCUUUGUAAAUAGACAUUAAGAAUGAAUCCAGAAUUAGUCAUUUAGCAUGUAAAUAUGUUUAAAGAGGAAAAUAUAUAGAUAUAUAUUUUUCCAUGAAGACUGGGAGACGCAGAGGCGUAGAAUAGAAAUAGAUAUUGUAAGACCUAGAAGUAAAAAAUAGAAAAGUAAAAGAAACUAGAUAAAGACUAAACCAUAUGCAAUGACCAAUCUAUAAAGAGCUUGAUGCUUGUCUAGACUCAGACAUUAGGUUGCUGAACCCUAGUGGAAGGGAACCAUGAGUGUAUUAAAGCCCUUUGGAAUAGCCACUACACGCAUCUCACCUGGUACUGAGAGAGCACCAAGUUCACGAGAUCGAGCUAAACCCCCGAGGAGAAUUGUCGGAUAAAAAUCUUCCCACAGCUUCAAAAAUCGUCUCCUGCGCUGCACCACCUAAGACCCUACCCAGCUGACAGCCAGGAACCUUGAAGAUGGCUUGAAGGAUAACACCGAUAGUGAUUGAAGAAGGAUAUCAUUUUAAAGAUGGUUUGGAAGAUUGCUCAUGGUGACCUGAGAGAUAACUUGAUGGUGACCCGAAUGAUAACCUGAUGGUAACUUGAAGGGAAAUUCCUUGACAAUGGCUAGCUUGUGUUAUUUUGCUUGCGACAUCUUCAGAUCUAGAAACCCAAGGGAUAACUUUGAUCAGUGUCUGUAGUCUCAAAUGUAGCGACCUUUGAAUGACGAUUAGCCAUUGCAAAAUAAAUGCAUGAUAGAUACCCUACCGCAGAAUCGCCAAACUAACAUUGGUGAGAAGCUAUAACCAGCUCUGAUUAAUAAUUGAUGGUUAGUCUUAAAUUAGUGCUCUAAUGUGUAAUGAAAUUGGAGGAACCUUCAGUAUGAUAUAUAUCUAUAAUGCUGUUAAUGUUUUAUUCUGUUAUAUUCAGAUAUAUUUAUACUGUUGAGAAAUUGUUGUCGUUAUAUAAUCCUGUUACAUAUAUAUUUUGCUUGUUUAUUGGUUUGUUCACACAAGUUAUUAAAGUGUUAUGUUCUCUGUUAAUUGUUGGGAAAUUAUCAUUAUGUAUGCCUUUUAUAAUAAAAUAACAUUUCUUGACUUGUAUUUGAAUGGCGUGAAAUAGAAACUUUACAUUUUAUAUUUACCUACACUAUCACUACCAUGCAUAACAUAGUACCAUAACCAUUACCAUUACAAUACCCGUUACCAUUUCCAAAUUUCGCCAGUGUUACCAUUCUUCACGCAACGAGACUACAGCAAGAUUAGCAUCCUUAAUACCUGUUCUUGCCAAAA
Penaeus vannamei (Pacific white shrimp) is the source of this 1675-nucleotide long non-coding RNA. RefSeq lists it as uncharacterized. Lineage: Eukaryota; Metazoa; Arthropoda; Malacostraca; Decapoda; Penaeidae. The record is from RefSeq and is a predicted model, not a curated record.